AUUGAACGCUGGCGGCAGGCCUAACACAUGCAAGUCGAGCGAGCGGCGGACGGGUGAGUAAUGUAUGGGGACCUGCCCGACAGAGGGGGAUAACUACUGGAAACGGUAGCUAAUACCGCAUACUAUUCGAGUGGCCGAUAUCGGAUUAGCUAGUUGGUGGGGUAAAGGCUCACCAAGGCAACGAUCCGUAGCUGGUUUGCGAGGACGACCAGCCACACUGGGACUGAGACACGGCCCAGACUCCUACGGGAGGCAGCAGUGGGGAAUUUUGGGCAAUGGACGAAACCCUGAUCCAGCCACCCCGCGUGUGUGAGAAGGCUUUCGGGUUGUAAAGUACUUUUGGUAGAGAAGCGGUAUCUGCAGAAUAAGCACCGGCUAACUACGUGCCAGCAGCCGCGGUAAUAC
Molecule: ribosomal RNA, 405 nt
Filed under: uncultured bacterium
Lineage: Bacteria
Description: partial 16S ribosomal RNA
Rfam family: Bacterial small subunit ribosomal RNA
Source: RNAcentral